Molecule: ribosomal RNA, 254 nt
Filed under: uncultured bacterium
Lineage: Bacteria
Description: partial 16S ribosomal RNA
Rfam family: Bacterial small subunit ribosomal RNA
Source: RNAcentral
UACAGAGGUCCCAAGCGUUGUUCGGAUUCACUGGGCGUAAAGGGCGCGUAGGCGGUCAGCACAAGUCAGUUGUGAAAUCUCCGAGCUUAACUCGGAAAGGUCAACUGAUACUGUGCGACUAGAGUGCGGAAGGGGCAACUGGAAUUCUUGGUGUAGCGGUGAAAUGCGUAGAUAUCAAGAGGAACACCUGCGGCGAAGGCGGGUUGCUGGGCCGACACUGACGCUGAUGCGCGAAAGCUAGGGGAGCGAACGGG